RNAcentral lists this transfer RNA (73 nucleotides) under Patescibacteria group bacterium. RNAcentral's name for it is "tRNA-Lys". It matches the Rfam family "tRNA". Rfam says of the family: Transfer RNA (tRNA) molecules are approximately 80 nucleotides in length. Their secondary structure includes four short double-helical elements and three loops (D, anti-codon, and T loops). The record is from RNAcentral.
GGGAUUGUAGCUCAGUUGGUAGAGCAAGAGCCUCUUAAGCUCCUGGUCCGGGGUUCGAAUCCCCGCAAUCCCA